RNAcentral lists this ribosomal RNA (505 nucleotides) under uncultured bacterium. Its description in RNAcentral is "partial 16S ribosomal RNA". It matches the Rfam family "Bacterial small subunit ribosomal RNA", at positions 28 to 507 of the family's 1533-position model. The record is from RNAcentral.
GACGAACGCUGGCGGCGUGCCUAAUACAUGCAAGUAGAGCGCACAGUUUAUACCGUAGCUUGCUACACCAUAGACUGUGAGUUGCGAACGGGUGAGUAACGCGUAGGUAACCUGCCUGGUAGCGGGGGAUAACUAUUGGAAACGAUAGCUAAUACCGCAUAAUAUUGAUUAUUGCAUGAUAAUUGAUUGAAAGAUGCUAUUGCAUCACUACCAGAUGGACCUGCGUUGUAUUAGCUAGUAGGUGAGGUAACGGCUCACCUAGGCGACGAUACAUAGCCGACAUGAGAGGGUGGUCGGCCCCACUGGGACUGAGACACGGCCCAGACUCCUACGGGAGGCAGCAGUAGGGAAUCUUCGGCAAUGGACGAAAGUCUGACCGAGCAACGCCGCGUGAGUGAAGAAGGUUUUCGGAUCGUAAAGCUCUGUUGUAAGAGAAGAACGGGUGUGAGAGUGGAAAGUUCACACUGUGACGGUAUCUUACCAGAAAGGGACGGCUAACUACGUG